GCGAACGCUGGCGGCAGGCCUAACACCUGCAAGUCGAACGGAUCCUUCGGGAUUAGUGGCGGACGGGUGAGUCACACGUGGGAACGUGCCCUUUGGUUCGGAACAACUCAGGGAAACUUGAGCUAAUACCGGAUGUGCCCUUCGGGGGAAAGAUUUAUCGCCAUUGGAGCGGCCCGCGUCUGAUUAGCUAGUUGGUGAGGUAACGGCCCACCAAGGCGACGAUCAGUAGCUGGUCUGAGAGGAUGAUCAGCCACACUGGGACUGAGACACGGCCCAGACUCCUACGGGAGGCAGCAGUGGGGAAUCUUGCGCAAUGGGCGAAAGCCUGACGCAGCCAUGCCGCGUGAAUGAUGAAGGUCUUAGGAUUGUAAAAUUCUUUCAGCGGGGACGAUAAUGACGGUACCCGCAGAAGAAGCUCCGGCUAACUUCGUG
This 432-nucleotide ribosomal RNA is filed under the name uncultured bacterium. Its description in RNAcentral is "partial 16S ribosomal RNA". It matches the Rfam family "Bacterial small subunit ribosomal RNA", at positions 29 to 507 of the family's 1533-position model. The record is from RNAcentral.